Molecule: ribosomal RNA, 459 nt
Filed under: Triticum aestivum (bread wheat)
Lineage: Eukaryota; Viridiplantae; Streptophyta; Magnoliopsida; Poales; Poaceae
Description: partial small subunit ribosomal RNA
Source: RNAcentral
AUGGUUUAUCACUCUAGUUUCAUUGAUGAUGAUGGGAUCACAAAAGCCUGUGGGUGUCCUUUGCUUCCACUCAAAACCCAUAUAAAGGGCCCAUCCCCAGCCUCAGAUUCAGAUAAGGCGGAUAUAGUUGAUGAAGCAAUAACUUUCUUCUGUGCAAAUGUUUUCUUCAAAAACUUCCAUGUCAAAAGCCCAGCAGACAAAUUGCUGAUCUAUCUGACAUCUUACAUCAAUAUUGCCUUGAAAAGACUAGAAACCUGCCGGACGCUGGCUGUCGGAACUAAGGCAAUCAUUAACCUGGGGUUGGAAAAAGUUCCUGUGCCUGGAGAACCAGGGUUUCCUUUUCCCUGGACUUUUCACUCUCCCCCAAUCUGGGGAGGAAGCAGAACUGUUGAGGAACUAUCUGAAGCAGAUAAGGGAGGAAACGAGCGGGAGGCUGCUCAACUGCGCAUACAGAGCUAA